This 886-nucleotide ribosomal RNA is filed under the name uncultured bacterium. Its description in RNAcentral is "bacterial SSU rRNA". It matches the Rfam family "Bacterial small subunit ribosomal RNA", at positions 104 to 968 of the family's 1533-position model. The record is from RNAcentral.
GGGUGAGUAACACGUAGGUAAUCUACCUUUGGAUGGGGAAUAACAACCGGAAACGGUUGCUAAUACCGCAUAAUGCAGCGGCACCUAAUGGUGACAGUUGUUAAAGCGGGGGAUCGCAAGACCUCGCGUCUGAAGAGGAGCCUGCGGCGGAUUAGCUAGUUGGUAAGGUAAUGGCUUACCAAGGCGACGAUCCGUAGCCGGCCUGAGAGGGCGGUCGGCCACACUGACACUGACAUACGGGUCAGACUCCUACGGGAGGCAGCAGUCGGGAAUUUUGGGCAAUGGGCGAAAGCCUGACCCAGCAACGCCGCGUGAAGGAUGAAAUCCCUCGGGAUGUAAACUUCGCAAGAACGGGAAGAAUAAGUUUGUGCUAACACCACAGGCGAUGACGGUACCGUUUGUAAGCUCCGGCUAACUCCGUGCCAGCAGCCGCGGUAAUACGGGGGGAGCAAGCGUUGUUCGGAUUUACUGGGCGUAAAGGGCGCGUAGGCGGCCACCGCAAGUCAAUUGUGAAAUCUCCGGGCUUAACUCGGAAAGGUCAACUGAUACUGCGGGGCUAGAGUGCAGAAGGGGCAACUGGAAUUCUCGGUGUAGCGGUGAAAUGCGUAGAUAUCGAGAGGAACACCUGCGGCGAAGGCGGGUUGCUGGGCUGACACUGACGCUGAGGCGCGAAAGCUAGGGGAGCGAACGGGAUUAGAUACCCCGGUAGUCCUAGCCUUAAACGAUGAAUGCUUGGUGUCUGGGGUUAUAUAGUCCCCGGGUGCCGUCGCUAACGCUUUAAGCAUUCCGCCUGGGGAGUACGGUCGCAAGACUGAAACUCAAAGGAAUUGACGGGGACCCGCACAAGCGGUGGAGCAUGUGGUUUAAUUCGACGCAACGCGAAGAA